This 82-nucleotide transfer RNA is filed under the name Saccharomyces cerevisiae (brewer's yeast). It matches the Rfam family "tRNA". Rfam says of the family: Transfer RNA (tRNA) molecules are approximately 80 nucleotides in length. Their secondary structure includes four short double-helical elements and three loops (D, anti-codon, and T loops). Lineage: Eukaryota; Fungi; Ascomycota; Saccharomycetes; Saccharomycetales; Saccharomycetaceae. The record is from RNAcentral.
GGCACUAUGGCCGAGUGGUUAAGGCGACAGACUUGAAAUCUGUUGGGCUUUGCCCGCGCUGGUUCAAAUCCUGCUGGUGUCG